GACGAACGCUGGCGGCGUGCUUAACACAUGCAAGUCGAACGGAAAGGCCCUGCUUUUGUGGGGUGCUCGAGUGGCGAACGGGUGAGUAACACGUGAGUAACCUGCCCUUGACUUUGGGAUAACUUCAGGAAACUGGGGCUAAUACCGGAUAGGAGCUCCUGCUGCAUGGUGGGGGUUGGAAAGUUUCGGCGGUUGGGGAUGGACUCGCGGCUUAUCAGCUUGUUGGUGGGGUAGUGGCUUACCAAGGCUUUGACGGGUAGCCGGCCUGAGAGGGUGACCGGCCACAUUGGGACUGAGAUACGGCCCGGACUCCUACGGGAGGCAGCAGUGGGGAAUAUUGCACGAUGGGCGGAAGCCUGAUGCAGCAACGCCGCGUGCGGGAUGACGGCCUUCGGGUUGUAAACCGCUUUCGCCUGUGACGAAGCGUGAGUGACGGUAAUGGGUAAAGAAGCACCGGCUAACUACGUG
This 468-nucleotide ribosomal RNA is filed under the name uncultured bacterium. Its description in RNAcentral is "partial 16S ribosomal RNA". It matches the Rfam family "Bacterial small subunit ribosomal RNA", at positions 28 to 507 of the family's 1533-position model. The record is from RNAcentral.